RNAcentral lists this ribosomal RNA (274 nucleotides) under uncultured bacterium. RNAcentral's name for it is "partial 16S ribosomal RNA". It matches the Rfam family "Bacterial small subunit ribosomal RNA", at positions 523 to 796 of the family's 1533-position model. The record is from RNAcentral.
AUACGUAGGGGGCAAGCGUUGUCCGGAAUUACAGGGCGUAAAGCGUGCGUAGGUGGUUUGUUAAGUCAGAUGUGAAAGCCCCGGGCUCAACCUGGGAACUGCAUUUGAAACUGGCAUACUAGAGUAUAGGAGAGGAAAGUGGAAUUUCAGGUGUAGCGGUGAAAUGCGUAGGUAUCUGAAGGAACAUCAAUGGCGAAGGCAGCUUUCUGGACUAAUACUGACACUGAGGUACGAAAGCGUGGGUAGCAAACAGGAUUAGAUACCCUUGUAGUCC